This 60-nucleotide microRNA precursor is filed under the name Sphenodon punctatus (tuatara). RNAcentral describes it as "Spt-Mir-737_pre stem-loop". It matches the Rfam family "mir-737 microRNA precursor family". The record is from RNAcentral. Lineage: Eukaryota; Metazoa; Chordata; Lepidosauria; Sphenodontia; Sphenodontidae.
AUUUUUUUAGGUUUUGAUUUUAUUACAUGUUCAUGCGAAAAUCAAAACCUAAAGAAAAUG